This 816-nucleotide ribosomal RNA is filed under the name uncultured Bacteroidota bacterium. RNAcentral describes it as "bacterial SSU rRNA". It matches the Rfam family "Bacterial small subunit ribosomal RNA", at positions 28 to 831 of the family's 1533-position model. Lineage: Bacteria; Pseudomonadati; Bacteroidota. The record is from RNAcentral.
GAUGAACGCUGGCUACAGGCUUAACACAUGCAAGUCGAGGGGAAACGGCAUUGAGUGCUUGCACUGAAUGGACGUCGACCGGCGCACGGGUGAGUAACGCGUAUCCAACCUUCCCGUUACUGCGGGAUAACCUGCCGAAAGGCAGACUAAUACCGCAUGUUCUUCGAUGACGGCAACAGAUUCGAAGCAAAGAUUCAUCGGUAACGGAGGGGGAUGCGUCUGAUUAGCUUGUUGGCGGGGCAACGGCCCACCAAGGCGACGAUCAGUAGGGGUUCUGAGAGGAAGGUCCCCCACAUUGGAACUGAGACACGGUCCAAACUCCUACGGGAGGCAGCAGUGAGGAAUAUUGGUCAAUGGGCGGAAGCCUGAACCAGCCAAGUAGCGUGCAGGAGGACGGCCCUACGGGUUGUAAACUGCCUUUAUGCGGGGAUAAAGUGAGGGACGUGUCCCUUUUUGCAGGUACCGCAUGAAUAAGGACCGGCUAAUUCCGUGCCAGCAGCCGCGGUAAUUCGGAAGGUCCGGGCGUUAUCCGGAUUUAUUGGGUUUAAAGGGAGCGUAGGCCGGGGAUUAAGUGUGUUGUGAAAUGUAGGCGCCCAACGUCUGACUUGCAGCGCAUACUGGUUCCCUUGAGUACGCGCAACGCCGGCGGAAUUCGUCGUGUAGCGGUGAAAUGCUUAGAUAUGACGAAGAACCCCGAUUGCGAAGGCAGCCGGCGGGAGCGCAACUGACGCUGAGGCUCGAAAGCGUGGGGAGCAAACAGGAUUAGAUACCCUGGUAGUCCACGCCGUAAACGAUGAGUGCUAGGUGUUAGACCCU